Long non-coding RNA from Equus caballus (horse), 1295 nucleotides. RefSeq lists it as uncharacterized. NCBI's taxonomy places the organism in Eukaryota, Metazoa, Chordata, Mammalia, Perissodactyla, Equidae. The record is from RefSeq and is a predicted model, not a curated record.
AACAUUUUCUUUCAUAUCUUUUAUAUUUUAGGUGCCAAAGUUUUUAGUUUGUUGUGGAUGAGCUAAAUAGGUCUGUUUGUUAAAACACCACACUUUAUGUUUCCUGUUUUAAAAAGCAGUGGUUUUUAGUCUGAUUCAAAAUAAAUACAAUGGAAUCAAGUUUCUUUAAAAGAAAAAUCUUAAAUCCAAUGAAUAUGGCAGAGAUUGAAAUUACAUUACUGUUUUUAAACGCUAUCCUUCAUCAUCAAAAAGCUAAUCACGCGCCGGUGAACUGAGCUGCGUCAUUAUCCGGCACUCGGACCGACUCUUUCAGAUACUGGUUUCCCCCCCCAUCCGAAAGUUCGCUUUACGCCACUUCCUCUUUAGGAAAGACCAACGUGAGUACCGGUUUUUGCUAACCAAAGGAAAUCUGAAUAUGAAAAAAAAAGGCGAAAAGUAGAUAUAGCCUUCAGCGUUUGUCUGGCAGCGAGCUAUAUAAAGGCAGCGUCCAUCCCCGGCAGCGAGAGUGGCGCCACCAAGCGCCUUCCCCAGGAACUGCACUCAGCGUCUCCGCGUGAAGCCCCCGCAGCGUUGAACCGAGUCUGAAGGAUUUCAUAGGAACGCCCUACUUUCGGAGAGCGGGGGAAACCCGUGUACUGAUAAAGCCGCUGACUCACCAACGACUGCGAGUGGGCUUUGAGCUGCUGCUGCGCCCAACCCCGUUUCUGUGGCUCCUUAAUGCUCUCAGUGUGAAGACAAAAUCCUUAACCUCAGACUACAAAGCCAUGCCAGAUCUGUCCCCUGCCCACUGCUCAGGCCUCUCCUCGUCUGUCUUUCUCUGCUACCUCUGAUUUGCCGUCAGCCUUCCCGGCUCUCUUUCAGCCCCUGUUCUACUUCCUCUCUCCUGCUACAACAGCUUGCACAUGUUCCUUCUACUUGGAAUGUUCUUUUUUCCUAGGUAACAACUCAUCUUCAUUUUUCAGAUCUAACAAACGGAUCACUCCUCUGGUAUCUCCAACUGGUUCAAAACCUUGCUGUGGAAACGGGUGAACCACGUACUUCUCCUUCGCAGAAUUUAUCAGUUGCAAUUUAGAUUUGUGAUUACAUAAUUACUGUCUGUCUCCACCACUACGCUGAAAGCAAAUGAUAGUGGCUGUGUUUUUGUUCACAAUGUUAAGUCUCCAGGGCCUCUUUGCCCUGUGUGUGGAACAGAAGGGAAGCUCAACAAAUAUUGUGGACAUUGGUUAAAUGAAUGAAUACAUGAAUGCAUGAUUGAAUGAGGCAUGAAUGAAUAAACGUCAUAUGCUGGACCUGCA